AACGAACGCUGGCGGCAGGCUUAACACAUGCAAGUCGAGCGAAACCUUCGGGUCUAGCGGCGGACGGGGGAGUGACGCGUGGGAACGUGCCCUUGUCUACGCAAUACCCCCGGGAAACUGGGAGUAAUAAAGUAUACGCUCUUAGGGGGAAAGAUUUAUCGGGGCAGGAUCGGCCCGCGUUGGAUUGGGUAGUUGGUGGGGGAAUGGCCCGCCAAGCCUACGAUCCUUAGCUGGUUUGAUAAGAUGAUCCGCCACACUGGAGCUGAGACCCGGCCCAGACUCCUACGGAGGGGAGCAGUGGGGAAUCUUAUGGACUGAAGGCAACCCUGAUCUAGCCAUGUCGGGUGAGUGGUGAAGGCCUUAGGGUUCUAAAGCUCUUUCAGCUGGAAAGAUAGUGACGGUACCGGCAGAAGAAGCCCCGGCUAACUACGUG
This 433-nucleotide ribosomal RNA is filed under the name uncultured bacterium. Its description in RNAcentral is "partial 16S ribosomal RNA". It matches the Rfam family "Bacterial small subunit ribosomal RNA", at positions 29 to 507 of the family's 1533-position model. The record is from RNAcentral.